UUUCCGUAGGUGAACCUGCGGAAGGAUCAUUAUUGAAUGAACUUGGUGUGGUUGUUGCUGGCCCUUUCGGGGGCAUGUGCACACCCAUCAUCCUCAUCUCUCCACCUGUGCACCUCUCGUAGACCUGGAUUGACUUUCCGAGGCAACUCGGUCGGGAAGAUUGCUAUGCUCUGUGAGCCAGCUUUCUUUGCAUGUCCAGGACUAUGUUUUUCAUAUACCCCUAUAGAAUGUAACAGAAUGUAUCAUUGGGCCUUGUGCCUAUAAACCUUAUACAACUUUCAGCAACGGAUCUCUUGGCUCUC
This 302-nucleotide unclassified non-coding RNA is filed under the name plant metagenome. RNAcentral's name for it is "partial contains small subunit ribosomal RNA, internal transcribed spacer 1, and 5.8S ribosomal RNA". The record is from RNAcentral.